AUACGACUCCGGUGCACACACGUGGACUCGCAUCAAGGGUCCCUAAAGUCUGGACUACGUGAUGUCAUCAAAGUGUGGACUCUGAGGAGGACCACAAGUCCGGAGUGUGCCAUUUGGGACAGGGCCAACAGCUAGGGCUGCGACCAUUGCCCGCGCUGCUAGCCAAUUGAGUGGAACGUCCGCAUUUGGCGGCCAUCUUACCACAGGCAGUUCGCACACUCGUAGCAUUGAGUUUUAAUGGUGCAGGUCAGAGUCGUAUAAUAAGAGAGUUACGAAACGCUUUGAUCUCGCCGCCGCGCGGUCACGUGAUUCAUGUAACGUUCUUCAGUUCCAAACCAAGCAGGGCUGUCAAUCUGUUUGCAUAGGUUUUCAUCUAUUUAAGGGCGGCGCCAUUACACCCAUUUUGUCAACGUACUUCCGGCUGCAUAUGAUGAGCAGCUGAGGCAGUGGCUGAAGGCGACGCGUUAAACUUAAAAAGCUCACUCAAGCGCCUUUAUGUUUGUUUCUUACCUAUUUUAACGGACGGGAUGCUGACUGAGGAACACCCUAAUCCCAAGUAAUGGUUUGACCACGAUGUUCCGGUAACUUGAAGCCAUGCCGGGUGUUGAAAAGGUGGUCAGUUUCAGAUGCAUUGAUGUUUAGUGAUGCAAUGGACAACUGUGAGGAUGAUAUACAAUCAACAUGUUCCUAAACUGUGAUGCAGAAACACAAUGGGAGGAUCAAUCCGUCUCUGAACACAACUACACUUGAAAAUCACAACUCAACCUGAAGCAACCUACAUCUGAUAUGGCAGUGGUUCUUAACAUUAUUCCUCGAGGCCCACUGCCCUGCACAGUUUGUAUGUCUCCCUUAUUUAACACACCUGAUUCAAAUCAUCAGCUCAUUAGAAGAGAUCUCAAUGAACUGAACUGAGUCUGUCAAAUAAAAGAGACAUACAAAAUGUGCAAAGCAGUGGGCUUCGAGGAAUAACGUUAAGAACCACUGUGAUAUGGGAAAACAACCUUGCGGUUUCCCGGACAGGGCUUAUGCUGGUUUGGGCUAUUUGAGCUACGAUAAUUUAAAAACGCCUUGUACUGACAUACCUCAACACAUAUGAUUGCCAUUGUUUUGUCACAAGAUGUGGUUUGUUUGUAAAAACUAAAAUGUCCUAAUAUAAUUAAGGCCUAGUCCUGUAAACCCUGUCCAAGAAACUGCUUCAAUGCUUCUGCUUCAUGUGUUGAGCUGGCACAAAUGUACAUAUCUCUGCUGAGAAACAACCAUCUUUGUCAGCUUUACACAGGGUUGAUAUUGCAUGCAUUACACAGUCACCAAGCACGUCACCAGUACAUACACCAACAGCUUCCAGAUAAACACUUGGGAUCAGCUCCUGAUGACUCUGAUAAAGCUGCAUCUUAAUUCAUUGCAUGUGGUCUUGCUGAAAAGUUUCUUAGUCCAUAGUUAUUUUUAUAAACCUUUACAAUGUGACCUGAUUUUACCUGUUGUAAAGUUACAUUAAACCUUCAUACUGUAUGUGAUCAGAUGUCAUGCAGUGAUAUUAAACAUUUACAAUGUGAUCUGUUGUGCAUUUAUAUUAAACCUUUACAAUGUGAUCAGAUAUUACCUGCCAUGCAGUUAUAUUAAACCUUUACAAUGUAAUCAGAUGUUGUGCAGUUAUAUUAAAUCUUUACAAUGUGAU
Paramisgurnus dabryanus is the source of this 1675-nucleotide long non-coding RNA. RefSeq lists it as uncharacterized. Lineage: Eukaryota; Metazoa; Chordata; Actinopteri; Cypriniformes; Cobitidae. The record is from RefSeq and is a predicted model, not a curated record.